This 375-nucleotide ribosomal RNA is filed under the name Triticum aestivum (bread wheat). RNAcentral describes it as "partial small subunit ribosomal RNA". Lineage: Eukaryota; Viridiplantae; Streptophyta; Magnoliopsida; Poales; Poaceae. The record is from RNAcentral.
AUGAAUAUUCUGGCCUGGAACUCUCGAGGAUUGGGGUUGGACUCGACGGUGGGCGAACUUCGUGACCUGAUACGGUCUUACAACCCAGCGGUGGUGUUCUUAUCAGAAACAAAAAAGAAGGCGCGAGCAAUGGAGAGGUUGAAGUGGAGCCUGGGGUUUAGGCAAGGUGUUGCGGUGGACUGCGCGGGGAAGAGUGGGGGGCUGGCUUUGUGGUGGAGAGACUAUGUGGAUGUUACGGUGAGACCAUGGUGCCAGUACUAUAUUGAUGCAGUGGUCAAAGCUGACGGGAAUACCUAUAGGUUCACUGGAAUCUAUGGGGUGUUGGGGAACGUAGUAAUUUCAAAAUUUUCCUACGCACAUGCAAGAUCAUGGUGA